This 707-nucleotide ribosomal RNA is filed under the name uncultured Planctomycetota bacterium. RNAcentral describes it as "bacterial SSU rRNA". It matches the Rfam family "Bacterial small subunit ribosomal RNA", at positions 582 to 1278 of the family's 1533-position model. Lineage: Bacteria; Pseudomonadati; Planctomycetota. The record is from RNAcentral.
UGUAAGUCAGAUGUGAAAGCCUUCUGUUCAACGGAAGAAUUGCAUCUGAAACUGCAAGUCUUGAGUGUAGGAGGGGAGAAUGGAACUUCUGGUGGAGCGGUGAAAUGCGUAGAUAUCAGAAGGAACGCCGGCGGCGAAAGCGAUUCUCUGGCCUAUUACUGACACUCAGUGUGCGAGAGCUAGGGGAGCAAACGGGAUUAGAUACUCCGGUAGUCCUAGCCGUAAACGAUGGGCACUAAGUAGAGGGAAUUACCGAUGUUCUCUCUGCCGUAGCUAACGCAUUAAGUGCCCCGCCUGGGGAGUACGGCCGCAAGGCUAAAACUCAAAAGAAUUGACGGGGGCUCGCACAAGCGGUGGAGCAUGUGGCUUAAUUCGAUGCAACGCGAAAAACCUUACCGGGGCUUGACAUGGUAGAAGUAGGAACCCGAAAGGGUAACGAACGGUAUCCAGUCCGUAGCUAUUACAGGUGUUGCAUGGCUGUCGUCAGCUCGUGUCGUGAGACGUUGGGUUAAGUCCCCUAACGAGCGAAACCCUUAUUUUUAGUUACCAGCGGGUUGUGCCGGGUACUCUAGAAAGACUGCCGUCGUCAAGACGGAGGAAGGUGGGGAUGACGUCAAGUCAUCAUGGCCCUUAUGCCCCGGGCUGCACACGUGCUACAAUGGUCGGUACAAACGGAUGCGAAGCCGAGAGGUGAAGCGAAUCCAAGC